UGUAACAUAAGUGCGCAUGCGUCGGAUCUUAUGUGGGCCGAAUUCAGACGGGCAUGUGAGGCGACCAUUUUGCAAUGAAAAAUGAAACUCUGUUGUACAAAUUUAUUUUUCAUUUACUUUUCAAGAUACGUUAUCAUGGAUAUAUGUGACAUAAAUGCUUCUACAGCUGUAGACAUUACCGUGUUUUGGACGUUAAACUUAACGUGUUCAAUGAUACUUGGAGUAGGUUAAUAUUUAUCAAGAGCACUCCGUAAACGCUAUGUAACGAAUUAUUGGAUAAAGUCAAGGUCUAGAAGCUAUUUUUAUUCGUUGGUUUUCAAACAACGUUAGAAAACAUCUCAUGACAGUACCUGUUUCGAGAUUUAAAAGACAGUAGCGCACAAUGUGCGGAAUUCAGUAUACGAAUUGUGUCGCCAGAAUCUCGGCAGUCUGAUUUGUAUUAAAGUUAAUUUAUGGAAGUUAAAUAGAGUAUUUUAAAACAAUUGUGGAAACGUUUAAAAAAGAACAUAUUCGGACUUCUGAUGGUCCUGUUAUUGUUAGUUACAUAUAUUUUGGAAGCAUCCAUGGCACGAACUGUACCUCCGAGGAAUACACUGUGGAUGCUGUAUUUGUGCUUUUUUAUGGACUGUCUUUUGAUUUUAGCACAUCUAGGGAGUUCGGGGAUGAACUGUUUAAGUCAAGCGCACGCUGGAUUCAUGCAUACCGGUGUCAGAGGGACAUUCAAGUGGUGUUACUAUCGAAACCACUUUGGUCAUGCAUACGUUGGAUUUGGGAAUGGACAAUUUAAAAUCCGCACUUCUAUAUCACUUACACUACUGCACACAAACAGAGCUUCUACGCGCACAGAUAGAAACGAUGGCGGGGGAGGAUUACAUCGAACGGAUGGAAGAAGAUAUCAACAGACAAUUGACAAUGCCCUGCAGGACAACGAAGUCAUGAGACAUCGGAUCGUGUGCACGAUAUGUAAUACAAGAGACAGGCGUGUGGUGUUCAUUCCAUGCGGACAUUUUCUAACAUGUGAAUUGUGCGGACAAGAGACAGACACCUGUCCAGCAUGUAGACUGGACGUGAACUCGCGUGUCGUGGUGAACCAGUGACAUUUGACAAAAUCAUUUAAGAAGUAAAACGACUCAGUACUGAUAAUUUAUCGAAAUAAUGCACGACCAACAUAUAAAUUAAGCGCGGUUAUGUUAAAUAAUGAAAAUAAUGUUUGAGUCACUUUCAAAUGAAAUUAAAUAUAGUUAUAUUAUUUUUGCAUUACAAUUGUGAAAAGAUCUUUUGCGUUAAUAUGAUAUUUGGAGAAAAAAAGCAUCAAAGAAACGCUGCAAUCAAUGUAGUUCAACAAUUAUUUACUGGUUAGUGUGGGCUUAUUAAUAAGUUUCUGAAAGUGUCUGAAAUUUUUAAUGCUAAAGCAAUUGGUUUUAAAAACUGCAUAAUUAAUAAUUAUUAAUUAUGUCUAAUACGUUCAUGUAAGAAAUUUCCUGACUUAGCGGUCCAAACGAUGCACAAUUGCAACAAAAGCUGCAAACCCCUUUUUAUCAUUUCUUCUCCGUAAUCCAGCGCUACCAUGCGUUAAUUGUAUAGUUGUUUAUGAACAAAUACACAGCGCCAUACAUUCGACGGAAAAUAGAUGUGAUCAUAUUUGUUCCUGUGUCAGCAAUGUUAACAUCACGUUGGUUAAUAAAACAGUCAACAACUGUCGUCACUUAAUUCACUAGUAUUUUUAUGUGUGAUAUCAAUCCAACGUUAUUGUUGUAAGUUCUUUCGAAAGAUAUACGAGAGCAAUGCGGGGUAGACUACUGCUUACAAAGGUGCAGUUUACCUUUUGAACAACGAGCAGAUGUAUUAGUGUGUCAAACGUUUCUCAACGCAAGCGCGUCAAAUUUUGCAAUUCUUGAAACGUUAUAGCGUGGGGUGAAGCGAAACUUUUAAUGUAUAACAAUCUUGAAUCGGGCACUAUGAUCCAGAAUACUUAACAAAUUAUAUAUUGUAGAAUUUCCUAACUUGAAUACCUGUACUUAAUGUGUUCCAUGCCCAUAAAUAAUAGUUCAAACUCCCGUGUAUAUAAGUUCACUCUGUUUAUAUUGUCAAUGUUAACUGUGUCUUACACUUACGACGUGUAAGAUAUUGUACUUUGUAUACAUAGAAUGUUUAUGCUUUUUGUUAAUAAUUGUAAAUUGUGUCUGAUGUUUUGUUCAGCUCUUAAUGUAUUUGAAGGAAAUAAAGUUAUAUUAUUUA
Molecule: long non-coding RNA, 2238 nt
Organism: Dreissena polymorpha
Lineage: Eukaryota; Metazoa; Mollusca; Bivalvia; Myida; Dreissenidae
Exons: 2
Source: RefSeq, a predicted model, not a curated record